GGCAUGCAAGUCGCGCGAGAAAGGGCAUUUCGGUGCCUGAGUAAAGCGGCGUAAGGGUGAGCAAUACAUGGAUGACCUACCCUUGAGAGGGGGACAACGUCUGGAAACGGACGCUAAUACCCCGUAAGACCACGGGUUCUCGAACCUGGGGUUAAAGGUGGCCUCUGCUUGCAAGCUACCGCUCAGGGAGGGGUUCAUGUCCUAUUAGCUAGUUGGUGGGGUAAUGGCCCACCAAGGCUUCGAUGGGUAGCCGGGCUGAGAGGUUGUUCGGCCACACUGGGACUGAGACACUGCCCAGACUCCUCCGGGAGGCUGCAGUCGAGAAUCUUUCGCAAUGCGCGCAAGCGUGACGGAGCGACGCCGCGUGGAUGAUGAAGGCCUUCGGGUUGUAAAAUCCAAUCGCGGGGGAAGAAACAGGGGAGAAUAAUACUCUGCUCCUGUGACGUUACCCCGGUCGAAGCGCCGGCUAAUCACGUGCCAGCAGCCGCGGUAAUACGUGAGGCGCAAGCGUUGUUCGGUGUCACUGGGCAUAAAGGGCGCGUAGGCGGUGCCGAAAGUCGGUUGUGAAAGCCCCCGGCUCAACCGGGGAAUUGCGUCCGAAACUUCGGUGCUGGAGUAAGGUAGGGGGGAGCGGAAUUCCUGGUGGAGCGGUGAAAUGCGUAGAUAUCAGGAGGAACGCCGGUGGCGAAGGCGGCUCCCUGGACCUUAACUGACGCUGAGUGCGCGAAAGCUAGGGGAGCAAACAGGAUUAGAUACCCUGGUAGUCCUAGCUGUAAACGAU
This 781-nucleotide ribosomal RNA is filed under the name uncultured bacterium. RNAcentral describes it as "bacterial SSU rRNA". It matches the Rfam family "Bacterial small subunit ribosomal RNA", at positions 52 to 810 of the family's 1533-position model. The record is from RNAcentral.